GUGUCAGCCGCCGCGGUAAUACGGAGGAUGCGAGCGUUAUCCGGAUUUAUUGGGUUUAAAGGGUGCGUAGGCGGAUAAAUAAGUCAGUGGUGAAACCCUGCAGCUUAACUGUAGACUUGCCAUUGAUACUGUUUAUCUUGAGUUUGGUCAAGGCAGGCGGAAUGUGUAAUGUAGCGGUGAAAUGCUUAGAUAUUACACAGAACACCGAUAGCGAAGGCAGCUUGCUGGGCCGUUACUGACGCUGAUGCACGAAAGCGUGGGGAUCGAACAGGAUUAGAUACCCUGGUAGUCCACGCCGUAAACGAUGAUCACUAGCUGUUGGCGAUACACAGUCAGCGGCAAAGCAAAAGCAUUAAGUGAUCCACCUGGGGAGUACGGCCGCAAGGCUGAAACUUAAAUGAAUUGACGGGG
Molecule: ribosomal RNA, 411 nt
Filed under: uncultured prokaryote
Description: bacterial SSU rRNA
Rfam family: Bacterial small subunit ribosomal RNA
Source: RNAcentral